GUUUAAGUAUUUUUUAUUCAUUUCACAUUUUCUUAUAUCCUUUCAUAUGUAUCUUUAGAUUGUAAAAAUGAUAAAUUUUCAGUUUUACUCAUUUCUAAUUCAAUAUAUGGUUUACAUUUUAAUAAAAAGGGAUGUAAUUCUGCAUUAUAUAUAUUAAAUACAUUGGUAUUUUUGUCUAAUCUCGGGCGUAGCCCGGGCAAAAUCUCUAGUAUUACUAAUAACCGUAUAUUUCUAUCUAUCUCAUGUCUUUUUUUUAAUAUACACUAGCUUUUGACCCGCGCGAAUGUUUGUUCUUCGUAAUUAUAUGUUUUUACUUUAAAAUGAUUUUAUAAA
This 333-nucleotide long non-coding RNA is filed under the name Brassica napus (rape). Its description in RNAcentral is "long non-coding RNA (BNAP_LNC022698)". Lineage: Eukaryota; Viridiplantae; Streptophyta; Magnoliopsida; Brassicales; Brassicaceae. The record is from RNAcentral.